AAUCAACACUGGCGGCGUGCCUCAGACAUGCAAGUCGAACGAUUAAAGCUCUCUUCGGAGAGUGCAUAAAGUGGCGCACGGGUGAGUAACACGUAAGUAAUCUACCUUCGAGUGGGGAAUAACGUCCGGAAACGGACGCUAAUACCGCAUAAUGCAGCGGCACCUAAUGGUGACAGUUGUUAAAGAAUUUAUUCGCUUGAAGUGGAGCUUGCGGCAGAUUAGCUAGUUGGUAAGGUAAUGGCUUACCAAGGCUUCGAUCUGUAACCGGUCUAAGGGGACGGGCGGUCAGACUGACAGUGAAUAACGGGGCAGAGUGCUACGGGGGGAAGCAGUCGGGAAUUUUGGGCAAUGGGCGAAAGCCUGACCCAGCAACGCCGCGUGAAGGAUGAAGUAUUUCGGGAUGUAAACUUCGAAAGAGUGGGAAGAAUCAAUGACGGUACCAUUUAUAAGGUCCGGCUAACUACGUGCCAGCCGCCGCCGUAA
This 483-nucleotide ribosomal RNA is filed under the name uncultured bacterium. RNAcentral describes it as "partial 16S ribosomal RNA". It matches the Rfam family "Bacterial small subunit ribosomal RNA", at positions 32 to 523 of the family's 1533-position model. The record is from RNAcentral.